Arabidopsis lyrata subsp. lyrata is the source of this 2446-nucleotide long non-coding RNA. RefSeq lists it as uncharacterized. The transcript has 4 exons. The record is from RefSeq and is a predicted model, not a curated record. Lineage: Eukaryota; Viridiplantae; Streptophyta; Magnoliopsida; Brassicales; Brassicaceae.
UUUUGGGAUAAUUUCCUUAUUCUUCGGAGUUUCUUGGAAGAUUUCCCGAUUUGAGUUGAUCCUUCGAGAUUCUUCCCUAUCAUUUCCAGGUCUAUCGGAAAUGAUCCUUUUUUUUCGGAAAUGAUGCCUUGCUUGGAAAUGGUACUUUGAAGACGAAUAUUUACUAAGUCUUUGCCUCGGGCGGUUGAUGAUUUCGCCUCGGGUGUCUUACGGUCUCGCCUCGGGUGAUUCGGAGACUUCCUGGUGUUCGGCUCGGACAAACAAUGUGACAUUAUGCCCGAGCCGAAAUAUUUGCCGGGCUCGGGUAUUCGUAGGAGGAACGGGCUUAGGAACCCGAACCGUGGAUGGGUUCGGUCGUUCGGACGUCGAAAAGAAUCGGCUCGGUUGACUGAAUCGUGAACGGGUUCGGUUGUCCGAGUCGGGCUCGGGUAUUGGAUUGACGGGCUCGGGUACCCAAGUUGGUUGGCAGUCCCGAGCCGGCAGUGAGGAUAUCCGAACCGAUCCGUGCGGGAUUCUGAGAUGUUUGGUCAGAGUUCCCCGAGCUGAUUUGGUGAUAGGUCCCGAGGCGUUGUCAUAGCUCGGACUUAACGCGGGUGGAAUCCGACCCCAACAAUAUGUAAGGCUAAGCUUGAUUUUAUUGUUUUGAAACACUGUUAAAUCAUAUUUCUGCCAAGAUGAUGGUUGGAUUCUCUUUUCGACAUCUUAAUGCGUUUCAAGUGAGAUUAUUUUCAGUUGGGGGUUCUUCGUUAUACAGCAUGAUCCAUCAAGAUUAAAAGUAGAAAUUUUUUGCAAGCAGUUAGAUUUUGGCUCUGUAAGACUCUUACCAAGUUGUUGUUUUUUUUAUUGUUUGUUUAUUGUACAUUCAGGUAAAAUUUUGGUUCAGUAGGCAAGAGCAAAUGACGGGUCGUGUUUCCUGCUUCAUGCAGAUAUCUUGGAGGUCCAGAGAACAAAAUUUCGUAAGGUGAUUUUGUCGCCAGGAGCAUGAGAGGUCAGAUAUCUCUCCCUCUAUUCUCAUAUCUAAUUUGUCAUGCAUAGGUUCUCUGGGUCAUCUCACCAGGUUAUUUUCAUUUGAUUAGCUUGUUUUGAUUACUCACACUAUCUGAAAAUACACGCGUUCACAGACACGAAAAACACACAAAUACAAUGCACUCAAACUCAAAACACACCGAAAUACAACAAAACUCAAAACACUACAAAAAAAAUCACAUCACACGCAACAAAACUCAAAACACUACAAAAAAAAUCACAUCACACGCAACAAAACUUUAAACACUCUCAAACACAAGAAAUAAAAUACAGCACACCACAAAACUAGACACAAGAAAGAAAGAAGACAAUAAAUAACUUACGAUUAAUAUCUUUCUUUUUUUUUUAUUGUUAAGAACUCUGAGAUUAUGUUGCCAAGUCAAUUUCAGGUGAAGUAUCUCUCUCUUCCCAUUUUUCUUUCUUUUCUUAGUCUUUUACUACUAUGAAUCAUUUUGUUGGUCACAUUGAAUCUAAUUACUUUUUAUGCUGCUCUAAAAGUGAGAUUCAAGCGAGUACAAGCGAAAACAGUGUCCUGCAUACAAAAGUAAAGGGGUAAUCAAUAUAUUUACUUAGAUAUGUUUCGUACUGUGAUUUCUUGUGAAGGGAUACUAAGAGUUUUAAGGUGAUGAUUCAAAAUCCAAGAAAAACACUAAGAGUUUUAAGGUGAAGUUUCUCCAUUUCUUCUCAUCUACUUUUGCUUCAUUCACAAUUAUCAAAAUGUUCAAUAUUUCAGCUGUAGACAUUGUUUCCUUGCCAAGAUUAACAGGAGCAACGCAGUCGAAUCCCGGCUUUGAUCAUACUUAGUAAGAUUUCGAAUGGAGGACUCUUAAGCUGAAAAUAACUUAACUUAGGAAAGUAAUUCAAUUGCCUCGGAAGAAGGAAGGAUCAGGUAGAUAAACUGUCUUGAUCCCUUUUUGUAGUUUUUUUUUUUAUGGUCUUGUGUAUAUAGUAUACUGCUAGCAUAAUGGUUUUGUACCAGGGUAAAGGAUUCUUAAGAGGAAAAAUAACACAAUUUAAGAAAACCAUUCAGUCUCCCUGAAAGAAGGGUCAGAUGUGAGUCCAUGACAAGGAACGAGAAUAGAAUUCUUCUUCUUGUAAGGAAUGGAGAUCCCGGAAGUGAUCGCCUGAGAAAGAGCAUCCAUGGCUAAGAUUCCGAUCUGAUCUUUUGCUUAGUUUUCUCAGUCAAUUGAGUUUUUUUCUUUUUUGGAGGGAGUUUUUGAAAAAUUUACAAAAAAAAAAAAAACACACAACAAGUGAGUGAGAGAAGAGAGACAAGUUGUUUAGAUCUCUCGCUCUCUAUACAGUACUUGGCUCUUUAGAAACGAACAAGUACGAAACAAGUCUAACUUCAUUUUGUCUGUAAUUUUUGUCAUGCCUGUAAAAUCUUCUUCAUCAAAAUUAGUGGUUAAUCUUAUUCGAA